Small nucleolar RNA from Doryrhamphus excisus (bluestripe pipefish), 79 nucleotides. RefSeq annotates it as small nucleolar RNA SNORD24. The record is from RefSeq and is a predicted model, not a curated record. NCBI's taxonomy places the organism in Eukaryota, Metazoa, Chordata, Actinopteri, Syngnathiformes, Syngnathidae.
UGCCGUGAUGACAGUUUAUUUGCUACUCUUGACAAGAUGGGUGACGAUACAAACAACCACCAAGUUGACAUCUGAGGCA